RNAcentral lists this long non-coding RNA (1396 nucleotides) under Marmota monax (woodchuck). Lineage: Eukaryota; Metazoa; Chordata; Mammalia; Rodentia; Sciuridae. The record is from RNAcentral.
AGAAAAUGCCCUGGUAGGUAUUAACUAUAAAAAUUUUUAAUGUUAGUGCAUUUGAUGUAUUCUUCCUAAUACAGCUUGCCAUUCUAAAUUAUGUAAGUUUGAAAAAAAUUUUUGGAAGUUAUUUUUAAAAUGUGAAUUGUGUAAAACAAAGAUUCAAUUUCAUUAAAAGCACAAACUGAUAUUGUGGCUCAGUGGUAGAAUGCUUACCUAGUAUGGGCAAGGCCCUGGUUUCAGACCCCAACAUUGCCGUAAAUACAUACAUACUUGCAUACAUAAAAAUUUAUAUUUUAUUUAUUCCCAUACUGUUUUAUUUUAGUGUUUCAUUUGUCUUCUAGUUUUCACUUAAUUUUUUUUUUAGUUGUAGAUGGACACAAUACCUUCAUUUUAUUUAUUUAUUUUUGUGUGGUGCUGAGGAUCGAACCCAGGAUCUCACACAUGCUAGGUGAGCGCUCUACCACUGAGCCACAAUUGCAGCCCCCCCCUCAGUUUUCACUUUUUUAAAAUACCAUUUUAAUAUGUUCAGUUCAGUGGCAUGGCUUAUAUUCACAAUUUCUUGCAGCCUUCAUAGUACUAUUUCCACAACUUUUCCAUCCCCAGGAGAAACUAUAGCCAUUAAAUAGUAACGUCUAUUCCCUCUCCCCACAGACCCUGGGACUCUUUAUACAUUGCAAACUGAAGCUCUGUAUUCAUUAAAAAGUAGUUUCCUAAUCCCCUCUCACCACCCUGAUACAUUUGCCUAUUCUAAAUAUAAAUGGAAUUAUGUGGUAUUUGUCCAGUUAUGUCUAGCUUAUUUCACUUACAAAGUGUCUUUAUGGUUCAUCAUGUUGUAGCAUGUAUCAGACUCUCAUUCCUUGUUAUGGCUGAAUAAUAUUUGUGUGGUGUGUGUGUGUGUGUGUGUGUGUGUGUGUACAUAUACAUACGGAUCGUAUCCAUUCAGCUAUUGAUGAACACAUGGGUUGUUUCUGCCUUUUGGCUCUUGUGAAUAAUGCUACAAUGAUAUUUGUGUACAUGUGUUCAUUCCAGAUGCUGUUUUCAACUUCUUUGAGUAUUUAUUUAGGAGUAAAAUUGCUGGGUCAUAUGAAAAUUUUUAUUUAUAUUUAUAUAUAUUUUAGAGACCACCCAGGUUUUUUUCUUCAUAGUAGUUGUACCAUUUUCCAUUCCCUCCGGCAGUGCACAGGAUUUUAAUUUCUCCAAAUCCUUGUUGAGUGCCUUGAUGUAUGCCUGCAACACAGAAGGCUAAGGCAGGAGGUUUGCAAGUUCUAAGCCAGUCUCAGAAAUUUAGCAAGACUCUCAGCAACUUAUUGAGACCCUGUCUCAAAAGUAAAAAAGACAGGAGAAAUAGUUCAGUGGUAUUAGGUUCAAUCACCAGAACCAAAAAAAAAAAAAAAAAAAAUUU